Long non-coding RNA from Gallus gallus (chicken), 757 nucleotides. RefSeq lists it as uncharacterized. NCBI's taxonomy places the organism in Eukaryota, Metazoa, Chordata, Aves, Galliformes, Phasianidae. The transcript is spliced from 3 exons. The record is from RefSeq and is a predicted model, not a curated record.
CCUGACCUUGGCUUUAUGACAUCACCGGGGGGAGUCGGACAUGGUGUCAGUUUGUGUCUUUACCUCUCUGAGUUGGUAAAACAUGCACAUUCUCUAAUGAAAGCUGCCCUAUAAACACAAAGUAUUUCUGUGACUUGGGUUCGCUUUUGGUCCCAGAUCCCACACGGCAGUGCCGUCGCUGAUGAGUUGAACGCAUUUUUUCCUCGAACAUGGGACAGGCCAAGAACAUCUGGCUCCACUGACACACGAAGUUCAUCAUUAUCCAGAAGUCCGAUUCCAGCUAAGGAAACAGAAGCUAUUAAAUGGUGACUGCCUCCAUGUACUCUGAGCCACUAUGUGAGCCAUUGCCUGGGUAUCCCGCUGUAACAGGGUUUGAAACAUCCCAUGAGCCAGCACGGAUUGCCACUAACAGAUGUCAGAUUUUCAGUAAUGUCUGAAAAAAACCAAACAGGAUGUAAUGGAGGAGUUAAAAGUGGAAAGUUUUAUGUAGUCGCUGCCAGGUUGGGUGGUGAAACUGGUCGGAUGAGAGGAAGGAAGAGGGGAAAUAAGAGAGCAAGGCUGGUGUCUAGCAUUUUUUUUUUAAUGAGACAGUAAGUCUAGUAGGGGUAAAUCUCUCAUCCUAUAGAAAUUAAUAAUAGGAUUAAACUUGGCUGAACACAGUGCAAAUAGUGAGAUUUACUUUCUUGGAGGUUGGAGUAGGCCUGGCAGCCCACUCAACUCAAAACGCAUGGUUGGAUUAUUAUUAUUACUUCAAAUC